This 226-nucleotide long non-coding RNA is filed under the name Canis lupus dingo (dingo). RNAcentral describes it as "lncRNA (ENSCAFG00020002274.1)". The record is from RNAcentral. Lineage: Eukaryota; Metazoa; Chordata; Mammalia; Carnivora; Canidae.
GCGGGAGGGUUGCUCUGGAGGUGUUAGUUUUAAAGUCUCUAUCUUUUAAAUUGUAUCCCAUCAGAGUGAGUUCUAGUAAUGACUCAAGUAGGUGUCCAGAACCGUGGCCGACUCUGGAGAUCCCAAAAUGAACCAAUCAAGGUUCCGGCUCCCAAGGCUUUCUUACCUGGGUGUGUGGACUUGAAGAAACUGUUAAUUUUCGGUCAAUCUGUCCUUUCUGCUUGCC